This 253-nucleotide ribosomal RNA is filed under the name uncultured bacterium. RNAcentral's name for it is "partial 16S ribosomal RNA". It matches the Rfam family "Bacterial small subunit ribosomal RNA", at positions 524 to 776 of the family's 1533-position model. The record is from RNAcentral.
UACGUAGGGUGCAAGCGUUGUCCGGAAUUAUUGGGCGUAAAGAGCUCGUAGGCGGUUUGUCGCGUCUGCUGUGAAAACUCGGGGCUUAACCCCGGGCCUGCAGUGGGUACGGGCAGACUAGAGUGCGGUAGGGGAGACUGGAAUUCCUGGUGUAGCGGUGAAAUGCGCAGAUAUCAGGAGGAACACCUAUGGCGAAGGCAGCUUGCUGGGACGGCACUGACGCUGAGACGCGAAAGCGUGGGGAGCAAACAGG